GUUGUAUGGUUAAGUGACUAAGCGUACACGGUGGAUGCCUUGGCAGUCAGAGGCGAUGAAAGGCGUAUUAACUUGCGAUAAGCCUAGAUUAGAUAGUAAAAAUCUUUGAGUCUAGGAUUCCUGAAUGGGGAAACCCAGCACCAUAAGGUGCUAUCACUAACUGAAUACAUAGGUUAGUGAGGCGAACCGGGGGAACUGAAACAUCUAAGUACCCCGAGGAAAAGAAAUCAACCGAGAUUCCGAAAGUAGCGGCGAGCGAAAUUGGAUUAGCCCUUAAGCUUUUAGUGAGACAGGUGAAGCCUCUGGAAAGUGGCGCGAUACAGGGUGAUAGCCCCGUAACCGACAUCUCAUCAUCAGUGAAAUCGAGUAGGGCGGGACACGUGAUAUCCUGUCUGAAUAUGGGGGGACCAUCCUCCAAGGCUAAAUACUACUGACUGACCGAUAGUGAACCAGUACCGUGAGGGAAAGGCGAAAAGAACCCCUGUGAGGGGAGUGAAAUAGAACCUGAAACCGUGUACGUACAAGCAGUAGGAGCACCUUCGUGGUGUGACUGCGUACCUUUUGUAUAAUGGGUCAGCGACUUAUAUUCAGUAGCAAGGUUAACCAUCUAGGGGAGCCGUAGAGAAAUCGAGUCUUAACUGGGCGUCGAGUUGCUGGAUAUAGACCCGAAACCAGGUGAUCUAGCCAUGGGCAGGUUGAAGGUUGAGUAACAUCAACUGGAGGACCGAACCGACUAAUGUUGAAAAAUUAGCGGAUGACUUGUGGCUAGGGGUGAAAGGCCAAUCAAACCUGGAGAUAGCUGGUUCUCCCCGAAAUCUAUUUAGGUAGAGCCUCGGACGAAUACCACUGGGGGUAGAGCACUGUUAAGGCUAGGGGGUCAUCCCGACUUACCAACCCUUUGCAAACUCCGAAUACCAGUGAGUACUAUCCGGGAGACACACGGCGGGUGCUAACGUCCGUCGUGGAGAGGGAAACAACCCAGACCGCCAGCUAAGGUCCCAAAGUAUAGCUAAGUGGGAAACGAUGUGGGAAGGCUUAGACAGCUAGGAUGUUGGCUUAGAAGCAGCCAUCAUUUAAAGAAAGCGUAAUAGCUCACUAGUCGAGUCGGCCUGCGCGGAAGAUGUAACGGGGCUAAGCUAUACACCGAAGCUGCGGCAAUGACUUAGGUCAUUGGGUAGGGGAGCGUUCUGUAAGCCGUUGAAGGUGGACUGUAAGGUCUGCUGGAGGUAUCAGAAGUGCGAAUGCUGACAUGAGUAACGAUAAAGGGGGUGAAAAACCUCCUCGCCGGAAGACCAAGGGUUCCUGUCCAACGUUAAUCGGGGCAGGGUAAGUCGACCCCUAAGGCGAGGCCGAAAGGCGUAGUCGAUGGGAAACGGGUUAAUAUUCCCGUACUUCUUACAAUUGCGAUGGGGGGACGGAGAAGGCUAGGUGGGCCUGGCGACGGUUGUCCAGGUUCAAGUGCGUAGGCUUAAGAGUUAGGUAAAUCCGGCUCUUUUUAAGGCUGAGACACGACGUCGAGCUACUACGGUAGUGAAGUCAUUGAUGCCAUGCUUCCAGGAAAAGCCUCUAAGCUUCAGAUUGUAAGGAAUCGUACCCCAAACCGACACAGGUGGUCGGGUAGAGAAUACCAAGGCGCUUGAGAGAACUCGGGUGAAGGAACUAGGCAAAAUGGUACCGUAACUUCGGGAGAAGGUACGCUCCUCGCGGUGAAGUCCCUUGCGGAUGGAGCUAUGGGGAGUCGCAGAUACCAGGUGGCUGCAACUGUUUAUUAAAAACACAGCACUGUGCAAAAUCGUAAGAUGACGUAUACGGUGUGACGCCUGCCCGGUGCCGGAAGGUUAAUUGAUGGGGUUAGACUUAGGUCGAAGCUCUUGAUCGAAGCCCCGGUAAACGGCGGCCGUAACUAUAACGGUCCUAAGGUAGCGAAAUUCCUUGUCGGGUAAGUUCCGACCUGCACGAAUGGCGUAAUGAUGGCCACGCUGUCUCCACCCGAGACUCAGUGAAAUUGAAAUCGCUGUGAAGAUGCAGUGUACCCGCGGCUAGACGGAAAGACCCCGUGAACCUUUACUACAGCUUGGCACUGAACAUUGAGCCUACAUGUGUAGGAUAGGUGGGAGGCUUUGAAGCGAGUACGCCAGUAUUCGUGGAGCCAUCCUUGAAAUACCACCCUUGUAUGUUUGAUGUUCUAACUUAGCCCCAUUAUCUGGGGUGAGGACAGUGCCUGGUGGGUAGUUUGACUGGGGCGGUCUCCUCCCAAAGAGUAACGGAGGAGCACGAAGGUGGGCUAAUCACGGUUGGACAUCGUGAGGUUAGUGCAAUGGCAUAAGCCCGCUUGACUGCGAGAAUGACAAUUCGAGCAGGUGCGAAAGCAGGUCAUAGUGAUCCGGUGGUUCUGUAUGGAAGGGCCAUCGCUCAACGGAUAAAAGGUACUCCGGGGAUAACAGGCUGAUACCGCCCAAGAGUUCAUAUCGACGGCGGUGUUUGGCACCUCGAUGUCGGCUCAUCACAUCCUGGGGCUGAAGUCGGUCCCAAGGGUAUGGCUGUUCGCCAUUUAAAGUGGUACGCGAGCUGGGUUUAGAACGUCGUGAGACAGUUCGGUCCCUAUCUGCCGUGGGCGUUGGAAGAUUGAAGGGGGCUGCUCCUAGUACGAGAGGACCGGAGUGGACGAACCUCUGGUGUUCGGGUUGUGUCGCCAGACGCAUUGCCCGGUAGCUAAGUUCGGAAUCGAUAACCGCUGAAAGCAUCUAAGCGGGAAGCGAGCCCUGAGAUGAGUCUUCCCUGGCACUUUAAGUGUCCUAAAGGGUUGUUCGAGACUAGAACGUUGAUAGGCAGGGUGUGUAAGCGUUGUGAGGCGUUGAGCUAACCUGUACUAAUUGCCCGUGAGGCUUAACCAUACAACACCCAAGGGGUUU
RNAcentral lists this ribosomal RNA (2912 nucleotides) under Vibrio astriarenae. Its description in RNAcentral is "23S ribosomal RNA". It matches the Rfam family "Bacterial large subunit ribosomal RNA". Lineage: Bacteria; Pseudomonadati; Pseudomonadota; Gammaproteobacteria; Vibrionales; Vibrionaceae. The record is from RNAcentral.